This 87-nucleotide unclassified non-coding RNA is filed under the name Pseudomonas synxantha. Lineage: Bacteria; Pseudomonadati; Pseudomonadota; Gammaproteobacteria; Pseudomonadales; Pseudomonadaceae. The record is from RNAcentral.
GUGGGAGGGGGCUUGCUCCCGAUAGCGGUGGGUCAGUUGCAGAUUUUCUGACUGAUAUACCGCUAUCGGGAGCAAGCCCCCUCCCAC